RNAcentral lists this non-coding RNA (92 nucleotides) under Sulfuricella denitrificans. RNAcentral describes it as "Glycine sequence". It matches the Rfam family "Glycine riboswitch aptamer". From Rfam's summary of the family: This family represents the bacterial glycine riboswitch. Glycine riboswitches usually consist of two metabolite-binding aptamers domains with similar structures in tandem. The aptamers cooperatively bind glycine to regulate the expression of downstream genes. The record is from RNAcentral. RNAcentral also lists the same sequence under 1 other name. Lineage: Bacteria; Pseudomonadati; Pseudomonadota; Betaproteobacteria; Nitrosomonadales; Sulfuricellaceae.
AGAACCCAUGCGGGAGAGCGUGCGAUUAUUUUCGCACCACCGAAGGCGCAACCACCCGUAACCGCUCAGGUAUCAGGAACCGCAUGGAACAC